Non-coding RNA from Schizosaccharomyces pombe (fission yeast), 72 nucleotides. The record is from Rfam. Lineage: Eukaryota; Fungi; Ascomycota; Schizosaccharomycetes; Schizosaccharomycetales; Schizosaccharomycetaceae.
GCUCACAUGGUCCAGUGGUUAAGACUCAUCGUUGUGGCCGAUGCGACCCAGGUUCGAUUCCUGGUGUGGGCA